Ananas comosus (pineapple) is the source of this 289-nucleotide long non-coding RNA. RefSeq lists it as uncharacterized. NCBI's taxonomy places the organism in Eukaryota, Viridiplantae, Streptophyta, Magnoliopsida, Poales, Bromeliaceae. The record is from RefSeq and is a predicted model, not a curated record. The transcript has 3 exons.
GCCUGGUUGGCUUCUAGGGCAUACAUCUAACAUUAACUCCUUUGAAAGAUUCUCACAUUGACCUGUCUGGAAAAAUAUCUCCGCAAGUGAUGAGCAACUCAAGGUUUCUUGAAGAAAAAACAGAAUUCACUUCUACUGUAGAUCAGCCAUGCAGAAAGCGUCUUAGAUUUGCAGAAGAUGAUGGCCUGAGCAAUAGCAAGAGCGAACCAUGACGAUAUAAUCAAAUUAUUCUACUUAUUACUUAUGCAUCUUUUCAGAUUUUUGUCAUUAAUGAAUAGACAUCUAUUUU